RNAcentral lists this ribosomal RNA (1252 nucleotides) under metagenome. RNAcentral's name for it is "bacterial LSU rRNA". It matches the Rfam family "Bacterial large subunit ribosomal RNA", at positions 1635 to 2880 of the family's 2925-position model. The record is from RNAcentral.
CAUACGACCGUACCGCAAACCGACACUGGUGCGCGAGAUGAGUAUUCUAAGGCGCUUGAGAGAACUCAGGAGAAGGAACUCGGCAAAUUGACACCGUAACUUCGGAAGAAGGUGUGCCCUAUUAGUGUGUAGUGAACAACGAAGCAUGAAUGGGUUGCAAAGAUCGGUGGCUGCGACUGUUUAUUAAAAACACAGCACUCUGCAAACACGAAAGUGGACGUAUAGGGUGUGACGCCUGCCCGGUGCUGGAAGAUUAAAUGAUGGGGUGCAAGCUCUUGAUUGAAGUCCCAGUAAACGGCGGCCGUAACUAUAACGGUCCUAAGGUAGCGAAAUUCCUUGUCGGGUAAGUUCCGACCUGCACGAAUGGCGUAACGAUGGCCACACUGUCUCUUCCUGAGACUCAGCGAAGUUGAAAUGUUUGUGAUGAUGCAAUCUCCCCGCGGAAAGACGGAAAGACCCCAUGAACCUUUACUGUAGCUUUGUAUUGGACUUUGAACAGAUCUGUGUAGGAUAGGUGGGAGGCUUUGAAGCAGGGUCGCUAGAUCUUGUGGAGCCAACGUUGAAAUACCACCCUGGUGUGUUUGAGGUUCUAACCUAGGUCCAUUAUCUGGAUCGGGGACAGUGCAUGGUAGGCAGUUUGACUGGGGCGGUCUCCUCCCAAAGCGUAACGGAGGAGUUCGAAGGUACGCUAGUUACGGUCGGACAUCGUGACGAUAGUGCAAUGGCAUAAGCGUGCUUAACUGCGAGACUGACAAGUCGAGCAGAUGCGAAAGCAGGACAUAGUGAUCCGGUGGUUCUGUAUGGAAGGGCCAUCGCUCAACGGAUAAAAGGUACUCUGGGGAUAACAGGCUGAUACCGCCCAAGAGUUCAUAUCGACGGCGGUGUUUGGCACCUCGAUGUCGGCUCAUCUCAUCCUGGGGCUGUAGCCGGUCCCAAGGGUAUGGCUGUUCGCCAUUUAAAGAGGUACGUGAGCUGGGUUUAAAACGUCGUGAGACAGUUUGGUCCCUAUCUUCCGUGGGCGCUGCAGAUUUGAGGAAGCCUGCUCCUAGUACGAGAGGACCGGAGUGGACACACCUCUGGUGUAUCGGUUGUCACGCCAGUGGCAUUGCCGAGUAGCUAAGUGUGGAAGAGAUAACCGCUGAAAGCAUCUAAGCGGGAAACUCGUUUCAAGAUGAGAUCUGCCGGGGCCUUGAGCCCCCUAAAGAGUCGUUCAAGACCAGGACGUUGAUAGGUCAGGUGUGGAAGCGAAAAG